RNAcentral lists this ribosomal RNA (1235 nucleotides) under metagenome. RNAcentral describes it as "bacterial SSU rRNA". It matches the Rfam family "Bacterial small subunit ribosomal RNA", at positions 266 to 1498 of the family's 1533-position model. The record is from RNAcentral.
UACCAAGGCGAUAAUGGAUAGCUGGUCUGAGAGGACGAUCAGCCACAUUGGGACUGAGAUACGGCCCAGACUCCUACGGGAGGCAGCAGUGGGGAAUAUUGGACAAUGGACGAAAGUCCGAUCCAGCGACACCGCGUGGAGGAUGAAGGCUUUCGGGUUGUAAACUCCUUUUCUGGGGGAAGAAUAAGGUUGGGAGGAAAUGCCCAUCCGAUGACGGUACCCCAGGAAUAAGCAUCGGCAAACUUCGUGCCAGCAGCCGCGGUAAGACGAGGGAUGCAAGCGUUAUCCGGAAUUACAGGGCGUAAAGGGCGUCUAGGCGGUUGGAUAAGUCAUUUGUGAAAUCCCAGGGCUUAACCCUGGAAGGUCUUGUGAUACUGUCCGGCUUGGGUGUAGGAGAGGAGAGCGGAACUCACAGAGUAGCGGUGGAAUGCGUAGAUACUGUGAGGUACCCCGAUGGCGAAGGCAGCUCUCUGGCCUAUUACCGACGCCGAAGCGCGAAAGCGUGGGGAGCAAAGGGGAUUAGAUACCCCCGUAGUCCACGCCGCAAACGAUGUUCACUUGGUGUCGGGAGCCUAUAUAUCUCGGUGCCGGAGCUAACGCGUUAAGUGAACCGCCUGAGGAGUACGGCCGCAAGGCUAAAACUCAAGAGAAUUGACGGGUCCCCGCACAAGCGGUGGAGCACGUGGUUUAAUUCGAUAAGCGAAGAACCUCACCUGGGCUUGACAUACUAGUGGUAAGAACCGGAAACGGUGAUGACCUUUCCUUCGGGUUAGGAGCUAGUGCAGGUGAUGCAUGGCUGUCGUCAGCUCGUGUCGUGGGAUGUAGGGUUAAGUCCCGAAACGAGCGCAACCCUUGUCACUAGUUGCCAGCGGAUAAUGCCGGGGACUCUAGUGAGACUGCUGGUGAAUAGCCGGAGGAAGGCGGGGAUGACGUCAAGUCAUCAUGUCCCUUAUGCCCAGGGCGACACACAUGCUACAAUGGGAAGUACAGAGGGUUGCAAUACGGUAACGUGGAGCCAAUCUCAAAAAACUUCCCCCAGUUCGGAUUGUGGUCUGCAGCUCGACCACAUGAAGCCGGAAUCGCUAGUAAUCGUAGGUCAGCCAUACUACGGUGAAUAUGUACUCGGGGAUUGUACACACCGCCCGUCACACCAACCGAGUGGGGGGUACCUGAAGUCGCUCUUUUGAGGGCGCCUAAGGUAACCUUCGCAAGAGGGGUGAAGUCGUAACAAGGUA